GCUAAUAAAGAAAAGAAUACAGCAGCCUCAUAAGAGGGAAUUCAUAUUUUUGAAUAAUAAAAAGGGAAGAUUUUGAUUGUAUUCCUAUUCUCCAUUAAAGGAGUUCUUGAGUUUGGAUUUUGUCUUGAAGGUAGGAAAGAAUUUAUAAACCUUUAAACUUUUGAUUUUGAUUGUGAUUUUUAUGUGAUUGAUUGAAUGAUUCUGCAUGUGUUGUAUUAAUAAAAUUGUGAAAAGUAUGAUCAUGUAUUAAUUUAUGUGUGUUUGAGUGGAAGUAGUGCUGUUAUGAUAUCCUGGAAAUUGUGAAUAGUAUAGAUUGAACUUCAUAUGACUGCUAUUUUAAUCGAGUUUCAUGCAUAAAACUUUACAGAUUAUUAAACUAGACAUCUUUAUCUUUCUAUCCAUAUAUUAAUUGUUCACAAACUCGUUUAUAUAAAUUGUUUUGAUUUUUUGAAUUUGGAACAUUGAUGCUGGAAAAUUUUGAUUUUCAGCAGUAAUUCACAGUUCUAUAAUUUAUUUCAUAACCCAAAAGACUUCUGAAAAUUCUGGGAAUUUUUAUCACUGCACAUAUAUAUGUCUAGUUUCUUUUAUUUUUAAUUUCGUAAUUUUGGGCUUUAUAUAAAAAUCACUAACAAUCAUAGAGUUGGGCUGCCGCAAUCCUGGAAACUGUAUUCCAGAAUUGCGACGGCUGAUAUUUAGGUCGGUUAGGCUAGUUUUUCAUCAGUAAAUAUUUUGUAAAUUUUGAUUCUGAUUCCUUUUUAUUUCCUCUAAUUUUUAAAACUGGAAUCACUAUUUUUGAAUAAGUAUAACUAAAGUUAUGAAUUUUUGAGUCAUUAGUCCUCUGUAUGUAUCGUCACUGGACAGUUUUGAUGUUUUUGGUGGAAAAUCAGUUUUAAGAGAUGAUUAUUAACUUUAAUUAAUAUUGUUAAAUUUUGUAUUGGAUUCCAACAUGUUUACAGUAGCUUUUUGUGAUAUUUAUGAUUUUCCGACAUGUUUAUAGCUUGAUAGACAUCAGCUCCUGUAUGAUGGUCUAGUAUAGUUAGUGAACUGAUGUGCUUAAGUAAGAGUACAUGGUUUAAGGAUUUUUGGUUUUCCUAUCUAGGUUAGAAUUGAAUAAGAUAUUGAUAAGAAUUUUUCCUUGAAGGUCAAGAGUGAGCUCAUGUGAUUAGGGUUAUUGUUGAUUGCAUUGGAUCGAGAUAAGUGAAUUCAUGCAUAAUGUUUAUUAUAAGUAUAUAUGUAAAUAUUUAUUAAUAGAAUAAUGUUCUUCAAAUAGAUUGGCAAGUUAUGGAUUUGAUGCUAUUUUAAAAUGUUUUUCUUAAAUUAGUUUUAAAUAAAUACUUGUUUUUCUAUAAAAUGUUUUCCUUUAAACUAUUUGUAAAGCUUUGCCAGUUUAAUGUGUUAUAAGUGUUUUAUCGAAAUAUUAUUGAAUAAUUGAUAUUGAAAAGCUAAAAAUUGUUUUAAAUGUUUUGGCUCAUUGUCUGUAGUUACCGUUAUUGAUAUUAUUGAACAACUAGCUGUAUUGUGCGCACCUAUUGACGAUUAUUGCGGGGUAAAGUACCCUAAUUGAACUAUUGACAGGGUCACCGGGAGUACAAGUGAUAUAUUGAACUAUUGACCAAGUCACUGAAGAUUUUGGUGAUACUAUGUGAUAUGAGCAAAUUGAAUGAAAGAAAAGUUUUAUUGAUAAAAGAUUUCUUACUCGAUUAUUUAUUGAAAAUGAUUUUUACGUUAUGACUUAACUGAUUAUAAGUUACAUAUGAUUAUAAAACGAUUACUGCUUUCUUAAUUUAUAGUACUUCAUAAUAAUGAUUAUAUACUUUUUCGUAUUACAAAUCUUGUACAUGAGUUUGCUUACCAAGUUAACGGCUCACCCCUUGUCUGUAACAUUUUGCAGAUUGAUAUUAGAGAUGUGGGCUGUCUAGGGGAAAGGAUUUGUUAGUUGUAAACUUUGACAUUUUCUAGAUGGAUUAAUUGUAGCUACUUUGACUAUUGUUUAGAGUUAGAUUUUAUUAUGGAGGAUUAUUGAUUUAUUUAUUAUUUUGGAGAAUAUGUUUUGUUCAUGAACAUUGACUUUAUUUGGAAUUAGUUAUAAGAUAAAUGUUAUAAGACUUAAUUCCA
Molecule: long non-coding RNA, 2115 nt
Filed under: Citrus sinensis (sweet orange)
Lineage: Eukaryota; Viridiplantae; Streptophyta; Magnoliopsida; Sapindales; Rutaceae
Description: long non-coding RNA (CSIN_LNC001676)
Source: RNAcentral